AUUGCCUCAGUAACGGCGAGUGAAGCGGCAACAGCUCAAAUUUGAAAUCUGGCCGCAAGGUCCGAGUUGUAAUUUGUAGAGGAUGCUUUUGGCGAGGUGCCUUCCGAGUUCCCUGGAACGGGACGCCAUAGAGGGUGAGAGCCCCGUACGGUAGGACCACCAAGCCUCUGUAAAGCUCCUUCGACGAGUCGAGUAGUUUGGGAAUGCUGCUCUAAAUGGGAGGUGUACGUCUUCUAAAGCUAAAUACCGGCCAGAGACCGAUAGCGCACAAGUAGAGUGAUCGAAAGAUGAAAAGCACUUUGAAAAGAGGGUUAAAAAGUACGUGAAAUUGUUGAAAGGGAAGCAUUCAUGACCAGACUUGGGCUUGGUUGAACAUCCGGCGUUCUCGCCGGUGCACUCUGCCAGUCCAGGCCAGCAUCAGUUUGCCCCGGGGGAUAAAGGCGGCGGGAAUGUGGCUCCCUUCGGGGAGUGUUAUAGCCCGUCGUGUAAUGCCCUGGGGCGGACUGAGGAACGCGCUUCGGCACGGAUGCUGGCGUAAUGGUCAUCAAUGACCCGUCUUGAAACACGGACCAAGGAGUCGUCUUCGUAUGCGAGUGUUCGGGUGUCAAACCCCUACGCGUAAUGAAAGUGAACGUAGGUGAGAGCUUCGGCGCAUCACCGACCGAUCCUGAUGUUCUCGGAUGGAUUUGAGUAAGAGCAUACGGGGCCGGACCCGAAAGAAGGUGAACUAUGCCUGUAUAGGGUGAAGCCAGAGGAAACUCUGGUGGAGGCUCGCAGCGGUUCUGACGUGCAAAUCGAUCGUCAAAUAUGGGCAUGGGGGCGAAAGACUAAUCGAACCUUCUAGUAGCUGGUUUCCGCCGA
RNAcentral lists this ribosomal RNA (861 nucleotides) under Sarocladium kiliense. RNAcentral's name for it is "LSU rRNA". It matches the Rfam family "Eukaryotic large subunit ribosomal RNA", at positions 74 to 964 of the family's 3401-position model. Lineage: Eukaryota; Fungi; Ascomycota; Sordariomycetes; Hypocreales; Sarocladiaceae. The record is from RNAcentral.